CAUUAUUAUCUGGUACACAAACUCAAACUCACAUGGAGAGUACAAAAAUCUACUAGCACACACUGGUAACAUGUGCAAGUGCAGAUGCCAUCGUACUUAUAAUCCAGAAUCCAUUGAUGAAGGCGAUAAAUUAUUUGACUCCAUAUGUUUUGAUCCUGUUUCUGUUGACGAGGGAUUUGUCGCCACUGGCGCUAAAUUUACGAGACAUGAUAACGUCAUAUACCUCCAACUUAGGCAAGCGCGAUGAUUAAAUGGUCGGUUAACUGAAACUACUAAAAAGUGGACAAAUUUGAAACGCUGUAGUUCUGCCAACACAAAGCCAGUUUUCAAUUUCAAACGAAACGAUUAUUUGAAAAUCAAAUUGGAAGAUAUUAUAUUGCCAGAAAAUGCAGUUGUUACAGGUGUAACAUUGGGAGACUCGGUGCAAGGACGAUAUCUGAACGAUAAUUCAAAUUUCGAUAAAAAACGCGGGAAGAUUACUCAACGGUGUCAAUGUAGUGAAAGGUGAUCUUGUUAACUCGAAUUUCAGGUUCAAAAUUCAAAAGUUUACUGAUUUAUUGUUUUAUUUCAGUACCACAUAUUCAGUGUUUGGUAACUACCAA
This is an RNA transcript of Cotesia glomerata, 602 nucleotides long. RefSeq lists it as uncharacterized. The transcript has 3 exons. The record is from RefSeq and is a predicted model, not a curated record. Lineage: Eukaryota; Metazoa; Arthropoda; Insecta; Hymenoptera; Braconidae.